This 510-nucleotide ribosomal RNA is filed under the name uncultured bacterium. Its description in RNAcentral is "bacterial SSU rRNA". It matches the Rfam family "Bacterial small subunit ribosomal RNA", at positions 32 to 519 of the family's 1533-position model. The record is from RNAcentral.
AAUCAACGCUGGCGGCGUGCCUAACACAUGCAAGUCGAACGCGAAAGCCCCUUCGGGGGCAAGUAGAGUGGCGUCCGGGUGAGUAACACGUGGGUAAUCUACCUCCGGGUGGGGAAUAACUCGCCGAAAGGUGGGCUAAUACCGCAUAAUGCAGCGGCACCGAAUGGUGAUUAGUUGUUAAAGCGGGGGACCUUAGGGCCUCGCGUCUGGAGGGGAGCCUGCGGCAGAUUAGCUUGUUGGUAGGGAAUGGCCUACCAAGGCUGCGAUCUGUAGCUGGUCUGAGAGGACGGCCAGCCACACUGGCACUGACACACGGGCCAGACUCCUACGGGAGGCAGCAGUGGGAAUUUUGGGCAAUGGGCGAAAGCCUGACCCAGCAACGCCGCGUGAAGGAGGAAAUCCUUCGGGAUGUAAACUUCACAAGCAAGGGAAGAGCGCGCAGGGUCGAAUAAACUCUGCGUCCGACGGUACCUUGCGUAAGCCACGGCUAACUACGUGCCAGCAGCCGCC